UAACGCGUGAGAAUCUGCCUUCAGGUUGGGGACAACAGUUGGAAACGACUGCUAAUACCCAAUGUGCCGAGAGGUGAAAGCUUUAGUGCCUGAAGAUGAGCUCGCGUCUGAUUAGCUAGUUGGUGGGGUAAUGGCCCUACCAAGGCGACGAUCAGUAGCUGGUCUGAGAGGAUGAUCAGCCACACUGGGACUGAGACACGGCCCAG
RNAcentral lists this ribosomal RNA (206 nucleotides) under uncultured bacterium. RNAcentral describes it as "partial 16S ribosomal RNA". It matches the Rfam family "Bacterial small subunit ribosomal RNA", at positions 111 to 334 of the family's 1533-position model. The record is from RNAcentral.